This 497-nucleotide ribosomal RNA is filed under the name uncultured bacterium. RNAcentral's name for it is "partial 16S ribosomal RNA". It matches the Rfam family "Bacterial small subunit ribosomal RNA", at positions 28 to 507 of the family's 1533-position model. The record is from RNAcentral.
GAUGAACGCUGGCGGCGUGCCUAAUACAUGCAAGUCGAGCGAACAGAUGAGGAGCUUGCUCCUCUGACGUUAGCGGCGGACGGGUGAGUAACACGUGGAUAACCUACCUAUAAGACUGGGAUAACUUCGGGAAACCGGAGCUAAUACCGGAUAAUAUAUUGAACCGCAUGGUUCAAUAGUGAAAGACGGUUUUGCUGUCACUUAUAGAUUGAUCCGCGCCGCAUUAGCUAGUUGGUAAGGUAACGGCUUACCAAGGCAACGAUGCGUAGCCGACCUGAGGGGGUGAUCGGCCACACUGGAACUGAGACACGGUCCAGACUCCUACGGGAGGCAGCAGUAGGGAAUCUUCCGCAAUGGGCGAAAGCCUGACGGAGCAACGCCGCGUGAGUGAUGAAGGUCUUCGGAUCGUAAAACUCUGUCAUUAGGGAAGAACAAAUGUGUAAGUAACUAUGCACGUCUUGACGGUACCUAAUCAGAAAGCCACGGCUAACUACGUG